This 28-nucleotide non-coding RNA is filed under the name Bombyx mori (domestic silkworm). Lineage: Eukaryota; Metazoa; Arthropoda; Insecta; Lepidoptera; Bombycidae. RNAcentral also lists the same sequence under 1 other name. The record is from RNAcentral.
UGACGAUAUUAUGCAGCAUGGCAGUGAC